GCAGGCGCAUGGUUUUCCUCGUUGGAAUUUUGCGAUCCCGAUAUUGCAGUCCCUAGCCAACUGUGCUAAUAGUAGGGGAACGGCUGCUGGAGCCCAUCGCAUACUAACUCGGUUGACAGUGUUGAAAAGGUGAUAUGAUCUUAAGUCGAGCAUAAGUUGGUGGUGAACUUGCAGCUUGUCGCUCGCCCAGAACUAAACCCGUGGAGUGAUUCUCAACCAUCUGAUUGGAGGCUGUUCCUCAUGACGUGCAUGGAACUGUCCCAUUAGUACAGAUUCGUAUAAGAUCUCUUGAUGGGGUUUUGCUCAGACCUCAUUUUAAACAGACUGGGAGAAAGCAUUUUCAAGAUAAAGAAUGAGAUAUGAUAUAUCUACAGCACUUUUUUUUUGGAAACCUUCACGAUAGGAUAUAUCAUUCUUAACCAGCUAGCUAGAGAACUCUGACCUUGUUUCAACAAUCAGAAAAUAAUACGGAACUAGUACCUGUGAAUCCCACCAGCUAAUUUGUCAAGGCAUCACUUAUAUACGAUGGGUUUCCGUCGAUGCGGCACUGGAGAACUAGCGAAAAUUGUUACUUCCAGUGGAGCCCCGUAGACUGGUGGCCUGCAUGUCAGUUAAAUGAGAGAGAGACAGAUUAUUUUCAUUUUUAGAGACAGUGUGGACAACAAUCUUCUGAAGAUUUCCUCUUGGGGGAAAUCUGGAGGAGACAAUGAAGCACAAAAACAGGG
RNAcentral lists this small RNA (725 nucleotides) under Histoplasma capsulatum var. duboisii H88. RNAcentral's name for it is "Histoplasma capsulatum H88 hypothetical RNA". Lineage: Eukaryota; Fungi; Ascomycota; Eurotiomycetes; Onygenales; Ajellomycetaceae. The record is from RNAcentral.